UACGAAGGGGGCAAGCGUUGUCCGGAUUUAUUGGGCGUAAAGAGCGUGUAGGCGGCCAUACAGGUCCGUUGUGAAAACUGGAGGCUUAACCUCCAGACGUCGAUGGAAACCGUGUGGCUAGAGUCCGGAAGAGGAGAGUGGAAUUCCUGGUGUAGCGGUGAAAUGCGCAGAUAUCAGGAAGAACACCCGUGGCGAAGGCGGUUCUCUGGGACGGUACUGACGCUGAGACGCGAAAGCGUGGGGAGCGAACAGG
RNAcentral lists this ribosomal RNA (253 nucleotides) under uncultured bacterium. RNAcentral's name for it is "partial 16S ribosomal RNA". It matches the Rfam family "Bacterial small subunit ribosomal RNA", at positions 524 to 776 of the family's 1533-position model. The record is from RNAcentral.